GUGGUACGGGGGGAUCGCACCCCUUCGCACCCCUCCUCUGGCCUCUCCCACCGCCCCGCCGCGAAAGAACCGCCGGCGCUGUUCCGGCCGCGGCCCGCACCGGCCCCGCCGCCCGGGACGAGGCGCAGCCGCGGGGGGAUCUCCCGCGGGAAACCGCGCGGGGAGCCCGGCUCCGCCGCAGCCAUCGAGCGCCUCCAGCGCCGCGCCGGCGGCAGGGACAGCGCUGCCCGCGGCAGUCUCCGGCCGCCGCCACCUGUUACCUGCUGCCGCCUCCGCCCUGCCGGAGGCCAGCACUCGGCACCGGCCGCCCCGCCCGCCGCCCCGGCCCCCGCACGGCGCGGUGGGGCGGGGGAGCCGGCUCCGCCACAUCCGGGUGCCGCCGCUCUCAGCGCGCAUGAGCGGCCGCCCCGCCGCUGCCGGGCCGGGCGCCGCGGUAUCGCUGCCGCUCCUCCUCCUCCUCCCCGGGGCGCUGCGCUCCGCGUUGUCAGGCAAGGGGGAGCGACUGAGAGGCGGGGGAGGCGCCUUCCACGGCAGGAGGAGGAGGAGGAGGAGGAGGAUGGUUGUGGGGGCGGGCGGCGGCAGGCGCUGGCAGCAGCCGGGAGAAGCCCCGCUGGUGACUGGCUGGCGGCACACGCAGCUCUGGGGAGGAGGCGGAGGGUGCUGAGCCGAGCCGAGCCGCGGGGCGGGCGGCUGCUGCUGCCGCGGGGGGAGAGGCUGCGGCGGCGGCGGGAGGGCAGCGGCACACGCGCACACACACGCGCGCACGCACGCGGACACGGGUGGCAGCGCGGCUGCCACGAUGUGAGGGGGCUGUGCGGGGGCUCGGAGGCUCCGCGGAGAGGAGAGGCGAGGCAGCCCGCACAACCCCGGCGGCGGGAGGGGCGGCCGGGGCGGGGCCGGCUGGGCUCGGGGCGAACCGCGUUCCCCGGCGGGCAGGGCGCGGGGCGGCCGCGGGCGGCGAGCGUGGGACCGGCGGUGGCGGCGCUUGGUGUGUUGACCGGC
This 1002-nucleotide long non-coding RNA is filed under the name Corvus moneduloides (New Caledonian crow). RNAcentral's name for it is "lncRNA (ENSCMUG00000018740.1)". The record is from RNAcentral. Lineage: Eukaryota; Metazoa; Chordata; Aves; Passeriformes; Corvidae.